AUGAGGAAGAUCCAUAUCACUCUACUGAUUUCACAACUCAAGAUUACAGAAUGUGCAAAUGAUAUGAACUCAGAUAAAGAAUCCCAGAAGGACUUGUUUGCUUAUCAGGCUCAUACAUUUCAGUGUGAUGACUACUUUACAGCAAGGCCUUACUGUACAACACUAAGGUGAUACUCAUGGGCAUAUGCCCCCCAAAGAAAGGCAAUCAUUAUGAAAUACCCAACUUCAAAACUACAAGCUGCCUGAAUUUUAAUUUUUUGUUCUCUUUAAAUAAACUGCCACAGUGUUUAAUUAUCUUUUCUAGC
Molecule: long non-coding RNA, 305 nt
Filed under: Anser cygnoides (Swan goose)
Lineage: Eukaryota; Metazoa; Chordata; Aves; Anseriformes; Anatidae
Description: lncRNA (ENSACDG00005016143.1)
Source: RNAcentral